This is a long non-coding RNA of Glycine soja, 600 nucleotides long. RefSeq lists it as uncharacterized. The transcript has 3 exons. NCBI's taxonomy places the organism in Eukaryota, Viridiplantae, Streptophyta, Magnoliopsida, Fabales, Fabaceae. The record is from RefSeq and is a predicted model, not a curated record.
AUUGUCAGAUUGACACUUUCUUAAACUUUCAAGAGCUUGCUUUCCCUUUUCUCUUUCUGUUUGUUGACAUUCAUCUCUCAUUCCUUUAUCUCUUCCUCGAUUUUGUGUUCAAGAGACCAUUGAAGACAUGGCAAGAGAGUCAAGAAUCCACACCAACAGGAUUUAUCCUCGUCUGCGUGUGGCUUGGUCAAGGGUCAUGAAUUGUAUACUGUGUAACAGAACAAGAUUUGGGUGGCUAAGGUAGCGCCACAUGUUUGUACCUCACAUGCCAGAGUAUACCAACCUGAUGAUAAGUACAAAUCAAAACAGAGAACAAUUUUUGGACCUUUUUGUGGAAAAUAUAUUUUUAGUUUGCAAAAAGAUGACCAAUUCAUGUGCUAGAAGGAUACGGAGUUAAGUCGGGGACAUGUGUGGUGUUCGAAGAUGGAGGAGUGUUAGAGACAAUGUGUCAUCAAGAGACGAGGAUUCUCAAUUUUUCUUCCUUUUUUUAAAAGAAAAAAUAUUUCUUUCAAUUGGUGGUUAUUUGUAAUUUCUAAUUGUAAUGGAUUUUUGGUGGUUAUUUGUAAUUUGAAUUAAAGUUUAUGAACUUAAUUUUGAAUU